GCUUUAUUAUUAUAAGUCAUUACUUGCCAAAUAUGGCAGCUGCCAGGUCUAGCCAUGUCCAGAUUUGGGCACCUUCCUAAAAUGGCAAUUACUCAAAACAAAGAAAAAAGGCGCUAGAACAAAAUAAGAAAAAGGGGGGCCCACUGGCAUUAUGUGGGCAACAAGUGGGUCCGGCGCUCAUUGUCAGGUUAGGAAAACAAAUUGGAAAAGGGGCCGCUGUCAGGAUUCGAACCUGGGACGGAGUGUCCUGAACAAAAGAGGCGUCGGUUUUGUUUUUGUGCUAGUCCCUAGCUUUCUUCUACCUCAAGCAGGAGAAGGACAACGACGUGUUGGCGGCACCGGCGGCAACCACCGGAGUUGGA
RNAcentral lists this long non-coding RNA (362 nucleotides) under Hordeum vulgare. Its description in RNAcentral is "long non-coding RNA (HVUL_LNC009551)". Lineage: Eukaryota; Viridiplantae; Streptophyta; Magnoliopsida; Poales; Poaceae. The record is from RNAcentral.